RNAcentral lists this ribosomal RNA (922 nucleotides) under uncultured bacterium. Its description in RNAcentral is "bacterial SSU rRNA". It matches the Rfam family "Bacterial small subunit ribosomal RNA", at positions 9 to 916 of the family's 1533-position model. The record is from RNAcentral.
GAGUUUGAUCCUGGCUCAGGAUGAACGCUAGCGACAGGCUUAACACAUGCAAGUCGAGGGGCAGCGGUGGUGAAGGCUUGCCUUUACCAGCCGGCGACCGGCGCACGGGUGAGUAACACGUAUGCAACCUGCCUGCCACAGCCGGAUAAUCGGGAGAAAUUCCGUCUAAUACGGCAUAAUGCAUCGACGGGACAUCCUGUUGGUGCCAAAGGUUAAUUCCGGUGGCGGAUGGGCAUGCGUCGCAUUAGUUAGUUGGCGGUGUAACGGACCACCAAGACGACGAUGCGUAGGGGUUCUGAGAGGAAGGUCCCCCACACUGGUACUGAGACACGGACCAGACUCCUACGGGAGGCAGCAGUGAGGAAUAUUGGUCAAUGGGUGGGAGCCUGAACCAGCCAAGUCGCGUGAGGGAUGACGGCCCUAUGGGUUGUAAACCUCUUUUGCCGGGGAGCAAAGUGCCGCACGUGUGCGGUUUGGAGAGUACCCGGAGAAAAAGCAUCGGCUAACUCCGUGCCAGCAGCCGCGGUAAUACGGAGGAUGCGAGCGUUAUCCGGAUUUAUUGGGUUUAAAGGGUGCGUAGGCGGACGCUUAAGUCAGCGGUAAAAUUGCGGGGCUCAACCUCGUCGAGCCGUUGAAACUGGGUGCCUUGAGUGGGCGAGAAGUACGCGGAAUGCGUGGUGUAGCGGUGAAAUGCAUAGAUAUCACGCAGAACUCCGAUUGCGAAGGCAGCGUACCGGCGCCCAACUGACGCUGAAGCACGAAGGCGUGGGUAUCGAACAGGAUUAGAUACCCUGGUAGUCCACGCGGUAAACGAUGAAUGCUAGUUGUCCGGGGCGAUUGAGUUCUGGGUGACACAGCGAAAGCGUUAAGCAUUCCACCUGGGGAGUACGCCGGCAACGGUGAAACUCAAAGGAAUUGACGG